This 438-nucleotide ribosomal RNA is filed under the name uncultured bacterium. RNAcentral's name for it is "bacterial SSU rRNA". It matches the Rfam family "Bacterial small subunit ribosomal RNA", at positions 958 to 1398 of the family's 1533-position model. The record is from RNAcentral.
AACGCGAAGAACCUUACCCAGGCUUGACAUGCAGUAGACAGCGCCAGAGAUGGCGCGUUCCUUCGGGACUGCUGCACAGGUGCUGCAUGGCUGUCGUCAGCUCGUGCCGUGAGGUGUUGGGUUAAGUCCCGCAACGAGCGCAACCCUUAUCGUUAGUUGCCAACAUUUAAGGUGGGAACUCUAACGAGACUGCCUGGGUUAACCAGGAGGAAGGUGAGGAUGACGUCAAGUCCGCAUGGCCCUUAUGCCUGGGGCUACACACGUGCUACAAUGGUCGGUACAGAAGGCAGCGAAACCGCGAGGCGGAGCAAAUCCCCAAAACCGGCCCCAGUUCAGAUUGUAGUCUGCAACUCGACUACAUGAAGACGGAAUUGCUAGUAAUGGCGAGUCAGCUACAUCGCCGUGAAUACGUUCCCGGGCCUUGUACACACCGCUGUA